This 359-nucleotide long non-coding RNA is filed under the name Malus domestica (apple). Its description in RNAcentral is "long non-coding RNA (MDOM_LNC003903)". The record is from RNAcentral. Lineage: Eukaryota; Viridiplantae; Streptophyta; Magnoliopsida; Rosales; Rosaceae.
CGAAGCUCAUUAGGCCUUGAGACCCAAUACUAACUCAAGGUCUAAAACGAAUUUAUUCAUUUGAAUAAUCAAUCCUAGUUAUAAAUAGUUAAACUAUUUAAUUGUCUUUAUUAAUCUUCAAUCUUAUCUUACAUGGUGUACGAUCCAUUAGGUUCUAGUUAUCGGGACAAUGGGCAAUUAGAACUCUUACUAAUCAAUUGUGAAUUGAAACUAUCUUUCAAUUAUCCCUUUUAUGAAGAUUAGUGAUUGUAAACUUUCAAGGCUUUCCCAAGCUAUGAGUGACACCUAGUAAUAUGUCAUGACUACCCAAGCUAAGUUGAAGACAUAGAGAACCUAUAUCUAUAUUAAUACUCUUGAUC